Molecule: non-coding RNA, 522 nt
Organism: Oreochromis aureus
Lineage: Eukaryota; Metazoa; Chordata; Actinopteri; Cichliformes; Cichlidae
Source: the annotation of a RefSeq genome assembly
AACAUGACUUUGAUCUGCGUCCUCAUCUGGACUCUCCUCUGCUGCUGCUUCACAGAGUCCAGAGGACAGAUCACAGUGACUCAGUCUGGAGCAGUGAGCUCUGCUGUGGGAGGAUCUGUGAGCAUCAAGUGUACGACCAGUCAGAAUGUUUAUUAUGUUAAUGUGCAUGAGUUAGCCUGGUACCAACAGAAAGAUGGAGAAACCUUUAAACUGCUCAUUUACUAUGCUAGCAGACGAGCAUCAGGGAUUCCAGCUCGUUUUACAGGCAGUGGAUCAUAUUCUGACUUCACUCUGACCAUCAGUGGAGUCCAGGCUGAAGAUGCAGCAGUUUAUUACUGUCAGGGUACUCAUAUGAUCAACAGUCAACGGGUGUUCACACAGUGAAAAACUGCUGUACAAAAACCUCCCUUACUAAGACUUAAUGGACACUCAACUGACUGCUGCAGCUGACAGCUGUGUUUGUGUGUGUGAGCCACACACUUAGACACACGAGAGCGAUGGUAUUCUUUAAACACAUUAUCA